This 392-nucleotide ribosomal RNA is filed under the name uncultured bacterium. Its description in RNAcentral is "partial 16S ribosomal RNA". It matches the Rfam family "Bacterial small subunit ribosomal RNA", at positions 523 to 918 of the family's 1533-position model. The record is from RNAcentral.
AUACGUAGGGGGCAAGCGUUAUCCGGAUUCAUUGGGCGUAAAGGGUGCGUAGGCGGCCCUAUAGGUCAGAGGUCAAAGGCUACGGCUCCACCGUAGUAAGCCUUUGAAACUGUAGGGCUUGAGUGCAGGAGAGGAGAGUGGAAUUCCUAGUGUAGCGGUGAAAUGCGUAGAUAUUAGGAGGAACACCAGUGGCGAAGGCGACUCUCUGGACUGCAACUGACGCUGAGGCACGAAAGCGUGGGGAGUGAACAGGAUUAGAUACCCUGGUAGUCCACGCCGUAAACGAUGAGUGCUAGGUGUCGGGGGUCGAACCUCGGUGCCGCAGUUAACGCAUUAAGCACUCCGCCUGGGGAGUACGUACGCAAGUAUGAAACUCAAAGGAAUUGACGGGG